AUGUUGUAGCUGCAGAAAACAAAUGACACCUUUGAAAUGAACAUUCCAGAGGAUUUCGAUAACCGACCCUCAAAAAAGAAAAAAAAUUCUGAAUCAGGUGUUUUGGAGCCAUCACCAAUGUCACCAACUAUGUCAGCAUCUAAUCCAGUUUCUGAAUGUUUUGAAUCAAUUGUGCCUGAAUCAGAUAACCAGAUAGAUCAUGAUCCAUUGCCAUCACCUCCAUCACCGUCUAGCUCGACAUUAACUCCUGUUUUAAUAUUACAUGAUGUCAAGGAACCAGAUCCAAAUAAAGGGAUCAAAGUUGAUGAGACAUAUGAUUAUCUCCCACAAGACUAUACAUUGACCGACCAUGAUCUAUGUGCUCAUAAAGCAAUAGGAUCAUCUUUAAGAAAACAAUUGCUCGUUCAGAUAGAUGGAAGUUGUGUCUUGCAAAAUCAAUUGAUGUGCCUGCUAAAUGAAAAUGAGUGGGUAAAUGAUGAUGUGAUCAAUGCAUAUAUAUGUUGUAUAAAGGACCAAAUACAUCUCUAGAAUGAUAAUAAAGUAUAUUUCGAGAGUCCAUUUGUUACCUCACUAUUUAAACGAGAUGGCGAACUUGGUAUUCAAAAAGAUAGUGCCUUCAUGACAGAGACCGUCAUCGAAUAUAUGCAACAUGACAUGCAACACACAUUGGUAGUUAGCUGUUGUGAAUACAAAAAACGUGAGGUUCAAGUACUGGACUAAUUGUGCUGGAACUUUGACCGUGACGAUCUCGCUGAUACGCUACGGGGAGUACAAUUUCAUUUGGACCUUCUUAAAAGUCAAAACUUGGUGAAAGACAAUUGGAAAGACGUUGAUCUCACUGAAUGGAGGAUCACAGAACAAUUACUAAAGGCAAUUGAAAAAGACAGAUCUUCAUGUGGUUUGUUUAUGGUCAAAUUUAUGUAA
RNAcentral lists this ribosomal RNA (924 nucleotides) under Triticum aestivum (bread wheat). Its description in RNAcentral is "partial small subunit ribosomal RNA". The record is from RNAcentral. Lineage: Eukaryota; Viridiplantae; Streptophyta; Magnoliopsida; Poales; Poaceae.